GAUGAACGCUGGCGGCGUGCCUAAUACAUGCAAGUCGAACGAAGCGGGGACGGGGGAGUAUCACGUGGAUAACCUCCUAUAAGACUGGGAUAACUUCGGGAAACCGGAGCUAAACCGCGUACUAAUACAUGGAUCCGCGUUGCAUUAGCUAGUUGGUAAGGUAACGGCUUACCAAGGCAACGAUGCAUAGACGACCUGAGAGGGUGAUCAGCCACACUGGAACUGAGACACGGUCCAGACUCCUACGGGAGGCAGCAGUAGGGAAUCUUCCGCAAUGGGGGAAAGCCUGACGGAGCAAUGCCGCGUGAGUGAUGAAGGUCUUCGGAUCGUAAAACUCUGUUAGUAGGGAAGCGGUACCUAAUCAAAAAGCCACGGCUAACUACGUGCCAGCAGCCGCGGUAAUAC
This 405-nucleotide ribosomal RNA is filed under the name uncultured bacterium. RNAcentral describes it as "partial 16S ribosomal RNA". It matches the Rfam family "Bacterial small subunit ribosomal RNA", at positions 28 to 526 of the family's 1533-position model. The record is from RNAcentral.